GAGAGAGAGUGCUUACAAACUAUACAACCAAUCAUCAUCUUCAAAACCAAAUAAUUGGAGGUUCCAAAUCAAAUAAUAAUUUCUACUACUUGCUUUUUAAUGCAUUGUUUAUGUUUAUAGAAAUGGCAAUAACGCUGGUCACCACUGCUAGAAUUACCAUUCCUAAAGCAACAACCUUAUCCUUCUUUGUUGCUAUUCCAUUCACAUCCCUGAGAGCAAUGGCGCCGGGGAAGAUGAAGGCCAGGCAAGCAGCUGAUGUUGAGCCCAUGAAUUGGAAGAUGUACCAAAUAUUUGGGAAUGCUAUUGCAGCAAGGUAGGAGAAGAUCAGCAAAGCCAUUGUAAUGGCCAAAAACCUUGUUUGAUCUGUCCCCAAAGGAGCCUUCUUUGGGAACAAUAAUUCAUUUAUAUUGGACCUCAAUGGGAAGUUUAGCAAAGGGAAAACAAGCAUGAGAUGAACUGCAUAGCUUAAUCUCACUACAUCAUUCAACAAAGCCCCGGUUGUAUCAGCACUCUGAUCAAAGUUCAUCAGAAUAUCUGACAUUAAUGAGUCUCCAAACAACAAGUACCCGAAAAUUCCGAUCACGAAAUAGACAACGGCGCAGAGAAGGAGCGCAAUCCGAACCGCAAUGAUCAUAUUUGAUGGCUUAUGAAGCUCAGAACUUAUUGGAUGAACAUUGAAAUGGAAGCAGAAAGCUGUGACAAGAACUGGAACAGCUGUGAAAAGGUCGAGGAAGGAGGUUUCUUCGUCAAGCUCCGGUACCAAUCUGGUGCUCUUCGUUUUGCCUUCAAUGAUCGCCAUGAUCGCCAUUACAGAGCUUAUCCCAACGAAAACGACGGCCAGAAGAACUGAUACAAACGAACUGAAUCUCAAAGAAUCGACUCGUCGGAGAAGAACCAGGGGAAGUAAAAUGAAGACGAGAGUAAAAAGGAUUGAGAACUCUCUGGCGUUCCACCAGUGAUUCCCAAACCAUUCUUGCAAAACUCCUAAAUGCACUUUUCCUCCUUCUUUAUUGCCGGAGAACACAUCCCCGAUUAUAAUCUGGUACAUAAUCAAGCAACCGAGAUUGGUAACCAUAAUACAAAUUUGCGUAGCAAUCGAACCAAUCGGGCCGAACGACUCCUUCAUGACGCCGGCGUAGGUAGUCGAGUCGCCGGAAUGAGUGAAUCUAAGCAAAAGCUCCACCGAAAUGUCAGUAAGGAAAGCGACGAACACGAUCAGGACGAGGGCGGGGAUUAUGCCGAGGACCUUAAGAGCGAAGGGAAUCGACAUGAUUCCAGCACCAAUUAUACUGGUCGAGACGUUGAACACGGCACCGGAGACCGACGCAGUCCUCGUGCACGGCUUCGCGGCCGGCAGUAAAGGUACGUUUUCGGGCGCCGGCGACAUGACGGCGGCGAGACGAUGAUAAGCUGGAGAGAAUAGAGCCGAAGGAAGUGAAGAAGAUGAAGAGAAGGAUGAAUGUCG
RNAcentral lists this unclassified non-coding RNA (1465 nucleotides) under Hevea brasiliensis (rubber tree). Lineage: Eukaryota; Viridiplantae; Streptophyta; Magnoliopsida; Malpighiales; Euphorbiaceae. The record is from RNAcentral.